This 505-nucleotide ribosomal RNA is filed under the name uncultured bacterium. Its description in RNAcentral is "partial 16S ribosomal RNA". It matches the Rfam family "Bacterial small subunit ribosomal RNA", at positions 28 to 507 of the family's 1533-position model. The record is from RNAcentral.
GACGAACGCUGGCGGCGUGCCUAAUACAUGCAAGUAGAACGCACAGUUUAUACCGUAGCUUGCUACACCAUAGACUGUGAGUUGCGAACGGGUGAGUAACGCGUAGGUAACCUGCCUGGUAGCGGGGGAUAACUAUUGGAAACGAUAGCUAAUACCGCAUAAUAUUAAUUAUUGCAUGAUAAUUAAUUGAAAGGUGCAAUUGCACCACUACCAGAUGGACCUGCGUUGUAUUAGCUAGUAGGUGAGGUAACGGCUCACCUAGGCGACGAUACAUAGCCGACCUGAGAGGGUGAUCGGCCACACUGGGACUGAGACACGGCCCAGACUCCUACGGGAGGCAGCAGUAGGGAAUCUUCGGCAAUGGACGAAAGUCUGACCGAGCAACGCCGCGUGAGUGAAGAAGGUUUUCGGAUCGUAAAGCUCUGUUGUAAGAGAAGAACGGGUGUGAGAGUGGAAGGUUCACACUGUGACGGUAUCUUACCAGAAAGGGACGGCUAACUACGUG